RNAcentral lists this long non-coding RNA (1995 nucleotides) under Populus trichocarpa (black cottonwood). RNAcentral describes it as "long non-coding RNA (PTRI_LNC000736)". Lineage: Eukaryota; Viridiplantae; Streptophyta; Magnoliopsida; Malpighiales; Salicaceae. The record is from RNAcentral.
ACAAUAUUCUUAUGACUACACGCCAUCAAUGGAAGAAGGGGUAAAAAAGAUACAACCCAAGCGAAAAGUCAAGGUUCUGUUAUGUAUGGCUGCCUGCAGGUAAGGUUACGAAGUCUAUUAACAGUUAGAAUUCACAAACUUUUUUAUCUCCUCCAUGAGACAAUAGAAGUGAUCAUUAUUUGGCAGGAAGUAGAACCCUAUUGUGGCCUGUUUUAGAUAGAGAAGUUUCACUUCAUGGCCAGCUCUCUGGAGUCCUUCAACAUAUGCCAAUUGCCAGUCUUGAACGAGAUCGAAACCAGCCACAACAACUAGACUUUUAGGGAACUCCAGUCCUUCAAGCUUUUUCCCCCUUGGACCAAAUAUAUUACAUGCUGGAUGGUCCCUAUCUUCUCCUUCAGGUAGAUAUGCUCUCCAAUACCAGUCGCGGUCUUGAAUUGUAACAAAGUACUUGCCAUCUAAUAUCUUCUCUGAUUCUGUUCUCUGUUGACCACCAAACAUUGGGUGAAGAAGAAUAUUACCCAACACAUCGAUUUCUUCCUCCGCCGCUCUCGCGGCAACAUGGUGAGCUAUAUUACCACCUGAACUAUCGCCAGCCAAAUAGACAUGAACCUUAGAAUCCUUUCCACUUUGAAGCCAAGUUCUAGAUUUAACCCACUUAAGAGCCGUCCAGCCAUCAUCAUACGCGCAAGGGUAUCGAUACUCAGGUGAUCGACGAUAAUUAACAGACACCACAACAGCCUUGCAAGCGCUGACAAGGCGGCGACAAAAGGUGUCAUAAAUAGCACUAUUAGCAGAGGAAUGAGUAAAGCUUCCACCGUGGAAGAAGAUUAUGACUGGAACAACCUCCGUAGUGUUCAAGGGCUUUUCAAGUUCUACAAUGCCCCAUUGCGCCUCACUUUCAGGGGCAGGUUGGUAAACCCGGUUAAGGAGGCCCGUGGUUCUGUCAACAUGAUCAAAGGAGAAAACCCCAUCAACUGGGAUGGUGUUGGCCUGGACCUUUCGUUCAAGGAACUCUGCCAAUUCGCGGUUAAAGGUCCCAUCCGGGCGGCGAAGGAGAUUAUAUGCAAGCUUGAAAUUGGAAAUGAGGACCCAUGUGUUUAGCGGAACAACCCUCUGCAAGAAGCAAGAAGAAAAUAGGAUUUUAAGGAAUUAGACGUUUUCUUAUAUAGAAAAACUAAAGGUUUACACGAUCUUUGACCUUGGAUUGAUUGAGAGCCAAGCCAGUCAUAUAUGUACAUCUUAGAUAUUAGAGAACGCGUCAGGUUUUUCUUACAGGUAGAAGUAGUUGAAUACUGGUGAUGGUAAAUAAAUCAUGUGAAGGAAACUAGACAGAUUAGAGCUUAAAUGAAAGUUUUUUCCAAGAAUCUUCAAAAUUAAACUUUUGUCAAAAGACACCGUCGAAAUAAUUAAUGCUGAAAAUUAAGAACUUGAUGAACUACUGAAUCAGAUGGGAAGAAAUUGCAGCAGCAGCAAAAUUAGCUCUUAAAAUGACUCCAACCGAAGUCAAAUUCUUCAUCUUCCAAUUUGAAAAUCAAAAUAAACCAUGAAGAAGAAGGAGAAGAAUCAUUAAUUUAAGCUCCAAAAAUCUUCAUUAGAGCAAUGAUAAAUACUGAAAAGAAGGUGAUUUAAAUGAAAGAAAGAAGGGAAAAGGAAAAGGAAUGGUGAAGAAAUGAAGAGAGCACCUUGGAUUCAUUUAGGUUGACUUCAUUGCUACCAGCCAUGAGGGAAUGAAGUGAAAAGAUAUCAAGACGAUAAAACCCAGAAGCUAAAAACACUUGAAAGAAACCAAACUCUUCAUUGUUUCAUUUCUUUCACUAGAAACACUUGAAUUCUUCUGUCUCUCUCUCUCUCUCUCUCUCUCUCUCUCAUUCCUCUUAUUGUUACUAUAUAUAUACAGCUGCAGCUUAUAUUAGGGAACAAAGAGACUGACUUUGUGUAAGAGAGAGAGCGGGGGAGACGUAUAUCUUCUUCUCGGGAGAGAGGGUCAAAGGGACA